This 860-nucleotide ribosomal RNA is filed under the name uncultured Veillonellaceae bacterium. RNAcentral describes it as "bacterial SSU rRNA". It matches the Rfam family "Bacterial small subunit ribosomal RNA", at positions 524 to 1396 of the family's 1533-position model. Lineage: Bacteria; Bacillati; Bacillota; Negativicutes; Veillonellales; Veillonellaceae. The record is from RNAcentral.
UACGUAGGUGGCAAGCGUUGUCGGGAAUUAUUGGGCGUAAAGAGCAUGUAGGCGGUCCUUUAAGUCUGGAGUGAAAAUGCGGGCUCAACCCCGUAUGGCUUUGGAUACUGGGGGACUUGAGUGCAGGAGAGGAAAGGGGAAUCCCAGUGUAGCGGUGAAAUGCGUAGAUAUUGGGAGGAACACCAGUGGCGAAGGCGCCUUUGGACUGUGUCUGACGCUGAGAUGCGAAAGCCAGGGUAGCGAACGGGAUUAGAUACCCCGUAGUCCUGGCCGUAAACGAUGGGUACUAGGUGUAGGAGGUAUCGACCCCUCCUGUGCCGGGUUAACGCAAUAAGUACCCCGCCUGGGGAGUACGUCGGCAACGAUGAAACUCAAAGGAAUGACGGGGGCCCGCACAAGCGGUGGAGUAUGUGGUUUAAUUCGACGCAACGCGAAGAACCUACCAAGGCUUGACAUUGAUUGACCGCUCUAGAGAUAGAGCUUUCCCUUCGGGGACUUGAAACAGGUGGUGCAUGGCUGUCGUCAGCUCGUGUCGUGAGAUGUUGGGUUAAGUCCCGCAACAGCGCAACCCCUAUCCUAUGUUACCAGCGAGUAAAGUCGGGGACUCAUGGGAGACUGCCAGGACAACUUGGAGGAAGGCGGGGAUGACGUCAAGUCAUCAUGCCCCUUAUGUCUUGGGCUCACACGUACUACAAUGGUCGGCAACAGAGGGAAGCGAAGCCGCGAGGCAGAGCAAACCCCGAAACCCGAUCUCAGUUCGGAUUGCAGGCUGCAACUCGCCUGCAUGAAGUCGGAAUCGCUGUAAUCGCAGGUCAGCAUACUGCGGUGAAUACGUUCCCGGGCCUUGCACACACCGCCCG